This 437-nucleotide ribosomal RNA is filed under the name Escherichia coli. RNAcentral describes it as "bacterial SSU rRNA". It matches the Rfam family "Bacterial small subunit ribosomal RNA", at positions 1050 to 1487 of the family's 1533-position model. Lineage: Bacteria; Pseudomonadati; Pseudomonadota; Gammaproteobacteria; Enterobacterales; Enterobacteriaceae. The record is from RNAcentral.
UGUCGUCAGCUCGUGUUGUGAAAUGUUGGGUUAAGUCCCGCAACGAGCGCAACCCUUAUCCUUUGUUGCCAGCGGUCCGGCCGGGAACUCAAAGGAGACUGCCAGUGAUAAACUGGAGGAAGGUGGGGAUGACGUCAAGUCAUCAUGGCCCUUACGACCAGGGCUACACACGUGCUACAAUGGCGCAUACAAAGAGAAGCGACCUCGCGAGAGCAAGCGGACCUCAUAAAGUGCGUCGUAGUCCGGAUUGGAGUCUGCAACUCGACUCCAUGAAGUCGGAAUCGCUAGUAAUCGUGGAUCAGAAUGCCACGGUGAAUACGUUCCCGGGCCUUGUACACACCGCCCGUCACACCAUGGGAGUGGGUUGCAAAAGAAGUAGGUAGCUUAACCUUCGGGAGGGCGCUUACCACUUUGUGAUUCAUGACUGGGGUGAAGUC